This 1486-nucleotide ribosomal RNA is filed under the name uncultured bacterium. Its description in RNAcentral is "bacterial SSU rRNA". It matches the Rfam family "Bacterial small subunit ribosomal RNA". The record is from RNAcentral.
AGAGUUUGAUCGUGGCUCAGAACGAACGCUGGCGGCGCGCUUAACACAUGCAAGUCGAACGAGAGGCUGUAGCAAUACAGUAGUACAGUGGCGAACGGGUGAGUAAUACAUGGGUAACCUGCCGCCGAGAGGGGGAUAACUAGCCGAAAGGCUAGCUAAUACCGCAUACGCUUCUUUUCCGUCUGGAAAUGAAGGAAAGCUGCAUCGCAAGGUGUGGCACUCGGUGAGGGGCUCAUGGCCUAUCAGCUUGUUGGUGGGGUCAUGGCUCACCAAGGCUACGACGGGUAGCUGGUCUGAGAGGAUGAUCAGCCACACUGGCACUGAGACACGGGCCAGACUCCUACGGGAGGCAGCAGUGAGGAAUAUUGCGCAAUGGGCGAAAGCCUGACGCAGCGACGCAGCGUGGUGGAAGAAGGUUUUCGGAUUGUAAACCCCUUUCAGGAGGAAGAAUGGGGUGGGUAACCACUCGGACGGUACCUCCAGAAGAAGCCACGGCUAACUUCGUGCCAGCAGCCGCGGUAAUACGAAGGUGGCGAGCGUUGUUCGGAUUUACUGGGCGUAAAGAGCACGUAGGCGGUUUAGUAAGCCCCUCGAGAAAUCUCCAGGCUCAACCUGGAAAGUUCGAGGGGGACUGCUAGGCUAGAGAACGGGAGAGGAGCCCGGAAUUCCCGGUGUAGCGGUGAAAUGCGUAGAUAUCGGGAGGAAGGCCGGUGGCGAAGGCGGCGCUCUGGAACGUUUCUGACGCUGAUUGUGCGAAAGCGUGGGGAGCAAACAGGAUUAGAUACCCUGGUAGUCCACGCCGUAAACGAUGGGCACUAAGUGUCGGCGGGUUACCGCCGGUGCCGCAGCUAACGCAUUAAGUGCCCCGCCUGGGGAGUACGGCCACAAGGUUGAAACUCAAAGGAAUUGACGGGCGCCCGCACAAGCGGUGGAGCAUGUGGUUUAAUUCGACGCAACGCGAAGAACCUUACCCAGGUUAGACACGCUCGUAGUAAGACCCUGAAAGGGGAAUGAUCCUGAAAGGGAAGCUUGCGCAGGUGCUGCAUGGCCGUCGUCAGCUCGUGCCGUGAGGUGUUGGGUUAAGUCCCGCAACGAGCGUAACCCCUAUCUUCAGUUGCCAUCGGGUGAUGCCGGGCACCCUGGAGAAACUGCCCAGGAUAACGGGGAGGAAGGUGGGGAUGACGUCAAGUCAGCAUGGCCUUUAUGCCUGGGGCUACACACGUGCUACAAUGGCCGGCACAAAGGGUUGCAAUCUCGCAAGGGUGAGCUAAUCCCAAAUAACCGGCCCCAGUUCAGAUUGGGGUCUGCAACUCGACCCCAUGAAGGUGGAAUCGCUAGUAAUCGCGGAUCAGCACGCCGCGGUGAAUACGUUCCCGGGCCUUGUACACACCGCCCGUCACACCACGAAAGUUAGUUGUACCUUAAGUCGUUGAAGCUAACCCGUAAGGGACGCAGGCGCCCAAGGUAUGGUUGAUAAUUGGGGUGA